UUUCCGUAGGUGAACCUGCGGAAGGAUCAUUAUUGAAUAAACCUGGCUUGGUUGUUGCUGGUCUUUUCGGAGACAUGUGCACGCCUUGUCAUCUUUAUAUUUCCACCUGUGCACCUUUUGUAGACUUGAAGACAGUUUUCCGAGGCAACUCGGUCGUGAGGAAAUGCUUUAAAUGGCUUUCUUUGAUUGUCUUCAAGGCCUAUGUUUCAUAUACACCAUAAGAAUGUAACAGAAUGUCAUUAUUAGACUUAUGUCUUAUAAACUAUAUACAACUUUCAGCAACGGAUCUCUUGGCUCUC
This 299-nucleotide unclassified non-coding RNA is filed under the name soil metagenome. RNAcentral's name for it is "partial contains small subunit ribosomal RNA, internal transcribed spacer 1, and 5.8S ribosomal RNA". The record is from RNAcentral.